Molecule: transfer RNA, 69 nt
Filed under: Nototriton abscondens
Lineage: Eukaryota; Metazoa; Chordata; Amphibia; Caudata; Plethodontidae
Description: tRNA-Ile
Source: RNAcentral
GGACGUGUGCCCGAAAGACAGGGCUUACCUUGAUAGGGUAACGCAUAGAGGUUCAAACCCUCUCACCUC